UGGGGAAUUUUGGACAAUGGGCGAAAGCCUGAUCCAGCAAUGCCGCGUGUGUGAAGAAGGCCUUCGGGUUGUAAAGCACUUUUGUCCGGAAAGAAAUCCUUGGCUCUAAUACAGUCGGGGGAUGACGGUACCGGAAGAAUAAGCACCGGCUAACUACGUGCCAGCAGCCGCGGUAAUACGUAGGGUGCAAGCGUUAAUCGGAAUUACUGGGCGUAAAGCGUGCGCAGGCGGUUUGCUAAGACCGAUGUGAAAUCCCCGGGCUCAACCUGGGAACUGCAUUGGUGACUGGCAGGCUAGAGUAUGGCAGAGGGGGGUAGAAUUCCACGUGUAGCAGUGAAAUGCGUAGAGAUGUGGAGGAAUACCGAUGGCGAAGGCAGCCCCCUGGGCCAAUACUGACGCUCAUGCACGAAAGCGUGGGGAGCAAACAGGAUUAGAUACCCUGGUAGUCCACGCCCUAAAACGAUGUCAACUAGUUGUUGGGGAUUCAUUUCCUUAGUAACGUAGCUAACGCGUGAAGUUGACCGCCUGGGGAGUACGGUCGCAAGA
This 546-nucleotide ribosomal RNA is filed under the name uncultured bacterium. Its description in RNAcentral is "partial 16S ribosomal RNA". It matches the Rfam family "Bacterial small subunit ribosomal RNA", at positions 355 to 893 of the family's 1533-position model. The record is from RNAcentral.